Molecule: long non-coding RNA, 2470 nt
Organism: Hyaena hyaena (striped hyena)
Lineage: Eukaryota; Metazoa; Chordata; Mammalia; Carnivora; Hyaenidae
Exons: 4
Source: RefSeq, a predicted model, not a curated record
AACAGGAUAAAGCUGUGUCUGAAGACAUUUACCCAGAACGGGGCAGCAGCCGGGCACCGAGGGCACCUGGUCACCUGCUGCCAGAGGGCAGGUCAGCUCACCACCUGCCCUGGAUGUUGCGCCCUUCGCUGCUCGAAUGAGUCUCACCUCGCUUCCAAGUGGGUUAUUUUGUGACCGAACCACGGAACGGGGCCUGACUUACGCCUGCUUCCUCCUCCGCCUGCGGCAGCCCCGCCUUCCUGGGGACCUCGUGGAUGGCGGCCCGCGGCGCUGCGCAGGGGUGGCGUGGAUAUGACCUGACUGAGCUCCUUGGAAGAUGGCCCCGGAAGAGCCUCUGUGACAGUGACAGGGUGCACGUCCCUCCCACCCCCGGGGACAGGCCUGGGCUCCGUCGUCCCAAGAGCUUUCCGGCCCCACUCACGCCCGCCUCCUCUCACCCUGCCCCACACUGUCCACGUCCACUUGUCUCCGGCCCAGCUCUGCGUGGACUUGUGUCCCCGGGGCUCUGUCCCUGGAGGUAGACCUGGCCUCACUCAUCCCAUGGGGACUGAGUGAUGGGCUCCUCUGUCCCAGGCCCUCUGCUCAGUGCCACCCGAUGGGAAGAGCUGGUCUUGGCCUUCAGAGGUCACCUUCGGGGGCUGACGGCUGUACUGCAGGGGAGCAGGAGAACUCUGGUCUUCUCAGAGGCUGGGGGCUCCCAGGGGAGGCAGCACUCAACGUGCAACUAGGAACUUUCCAGAUGCACAAACAGGGGCGGGGACAGUGGGGGCCCUUGAACGGGGCAGUGGCCUCAGGGUGCAUUCUGGGAAGACACAUUGUGGGGUUCUCUAAGACUAGACCCACGUUUCUGAAACCCCGAUGGCGGGGGCAGGGACGGAAGUGUCACUCCGAAGCCGCUCUUCCCGGCAGCUGGGGGUAAGGAGGUCACACUCCCGGGCCGAGGCUCACAGUCUGUGAAGGACGGAAGAGUUCGUGCAAAGCGGCACUUUGCUUCUCCUUCCCGUGGCUCCGUGACUUGGCCAGGCUCAGCUGGGCGGUCAGUUCUGUCCAUGGGUUUCUCGUGCAAGUGCAGUCACGUGGUGGCCGAAAGCAGAAGGUCCAAACGGCUUGUCUCUCACCUGCAGCCUGACGGCUCCUAGGUGGCCUCUCUCUCCACAGGGCCUUGCCCACGAGGGCCUCCCCACAUGGCCUCUCCUCACGGGGAUGGUCAGCAGGCUUCAGAGCCUAAUUACCGUGUGGUAGAUCUUGGGUUCAGGCUCAGGUCUGUGUAUGGGACACCCGUGCCAUGUUCUUGACCACUCUGGCUCUUCUCCUCUGGAGGGGCCACGGCCACAUUUAGGGGCCCUGCUGGAGUCACGGUGAGGCCCAUGACUCUGAGAGCUGCUCCCACAGCUGUAUUUCUACUGUGACUCAGAGUCACCCACACGGUGCCUGUAUCAACUACUAUUGCUGUGUAACAAAACCGCCCCCAAACCUAGUGAUCACUUAUUUCUCAGGAGGCUGCGGGCUGGUUGGGCAGUUCUGCUGGCCUGGGCUGGCUUGUGCGUCUGCAGUCACUGCGGGCCAGUCCCGUGGCUUUGCUCUCGUGGCUGGGCUCCCAGGCUCCAGCUGGGCCAGCUUCUCUCUGCUCCACGUGCUCUGUCAUCGGCCGGCAGGAUGGUCAGGCUUGGACCCAUGGUGCACAGGGCUCGGCAGGAGAGCAGAGGACCAGGCUCAGACGGGCACAGCGCCCCUUCCACUGGAUUCUAUCGGCCAAAACUAGUCAAACACCGUGGUCAGGAGUGCCUGCUGACGAAUGGAUACUUCGGGCUUCUGCGGACAGCAUGGCCCCGUUCUUUCUCGUUGGCAGGCUGUGUGAGCAAGGCUUCACCAUAGAAGCCUCUAGAUCAAUCCCCUCGUGGCAGCCAAAAAGAGUGCCCCGUUCUGGAUGUCCAGACGCUAACCUCCCAAACCUGCGGAUUUGUUGUUUGUGGCGAAGGAAUGAAGGUUGUAAGUGGAACGUGGACAGCUGGACAGCAAGGGCAGCCGCUCCCUUCAGAAGGGGCGUCUCCUCGAGGAUGAUCUCUCCACGUGAGGCAGGGUGCUGCCCGUUGCGUUAGCCAUGGCAUUGAAUGGACUUGGAAGGAAGGAAGGAAGGAAGGAAGGAAGGAAGGAAGGCGUGCAUGCAUGUGGAAGGGAAGGAGAACACCAGCGGCAGGGAACGGACAGCUGGGUGUCUGUGGCCUCGCGGCUGCGGGGGUAGAAGGCCCUCCUCCACAGCCCGGGUGCUGGAGAUCGGGGAAGAGAAGCAGAGGCCACUGGCUUCCCACCUCACCCUGCCUGGGGCAGCUUUAGUGCCCCCCCCCCCCCGCCCCGUACCUAGCAGGGACCGAGGAAAGUCCCCCAGGAAAGCCCCCUGAGAGCCAUCAAUGACGGUGUGGCUGUGGUCACAAUGUCAAAAUACACAAAUAAAGAAUAAUUUCAAAACAGA